RNAcentral lists this ribosomal RNA (406 nucleotides) under uncultured microorganism. Its description in RNAcentral is "bacterial SSU rRNA". It matches the Rfam family "Bacterial small subunit ribosomal RNA", at positions 509 to 917 of the family's 1533-position model. The record is from RNAcentral.
CAGCCGCCGCGGUAAUACGGAGGUUGCGAGCGUUAUCCGGAUUCACUGGGUUUAAAGGGUGCGUAGGCGGGUUGGUAAGUCAGUGGUUAAAGCCCUCAGCUUAACUGAGGAAAUGCCAUUGAUACUGCCAGCCUAGAGUGUGGUUGAGGUGACUGGAAUGUGUCAUGUAGCGGUGAAAUGCGUAGAUAUGACACAGAACACCGAUGGCGAAGGCAGGUCACCAAGCCAUCACUGACGCUGAGGCACGAAAGCGUGGGGAGCAAACAGGAUUAGAUACCCUGGUAGUCCACGCCCUAAACGAUGGAUACUCGCUAUUGGCCCAUCAGGGUCAGUGGCUAAGCGAAAGCGUUAAGUAUCCCACCUGGGGAGUACGGCCGCAAGGUUGAAACUUAAAGGAAUUGGCGGG